Molecule: antisense RNA, 187 nt
Filed under: Calothrix sp. PCC 7507
Lineage: Bacteria; Bacillati; Cyanobacteriota; Cyanophyceae; Nostocales; Calotrichaceae
Description: Antisense RNA which regulates isiA expression
Rfam family: Antisense RNA which regulates isiA expression
Source: Rfam by way of RNAcentral
AAUAACCGAAGAUGACUGCUGGGUUUAGUGUUGGGUUCGUAAUCACACGAACAUCACCACCACCUGGUGCCCAGGUGUCAUACACGCCACCAAAGAACAUAGCUUUCAGUACCAACAAGAGCGCACCAGAUCCGAGGAUGAUCAGGUGAAACCCGAUGAUGUUGGUCAUCUUGUUCUUGUCUUUCCA